CUGACCCCCCAGGAUACCACUCACCAUUGCUCUCUGUGCAGACAAUGAGCUUGUGACCACAACCCUUUGCAUGCAGCCAUUCAGGGUUUUCCUGCUGACUAGCCUUACACAUAUGGAUCAACCAUCCAUACUCACUGGGGUGUAGCAGGUAUAUUCUUCAAGUGUUUCUUUAAGGCAUUUGGAAUUCAAGUACAUGAUGGCCACUGCUAAAGAGACACACUGAACUAGAAUCACAUCAAAAGUUGCUUUGCCAUUUGUGUUUUUCAGCCAACUUCUACAUGAAAGAGUAAUAAAUUCUACAUAGAAAUUUAA
Long non-coding RNA from Passer domesticus (house sparrow), 312 nucleotides. RefSeq lists it as uncharacterized. The transcript has 3 exons. Lineage: Eukaryota; Metazoa; Chordata; Aves; Passeriformes; Passeridae. The record is from RefSeq and is a predicted model, not a curated record.